GCGGACGGGUGAGUAACACGUGGGUAAUCUGCCCUUGAGUGGGGAAUAACUUUGGGAAACUGAAGCUAAUACCGCAUACGAUCCUUCGGGAUGAAAGCUUUAUGCGCUCAAGGAUGAGCCCGCGGUCGAUUAGCUAGUUGGUGGGGUAAUGGCUCACCAAGGCUACGAUCGAUAGCCGGCCUGAGAGGGCACACGGCCACACUGGGACUGAGACACGGCCCAGACUCC
Molecule: ribosomal RNA, 228 nt
Filed under: uncultured bacterium
Lineage: Bacteria
Description: partial 16S ribosomal RNA
Rfam family: Bacterial small subunit ribosomal RNA
Source: RNAcentral